UUCUAGCCCCGAUUGUAGUGGAAAUCCUUUUAUCCCGAUUUUAAAUCGGGAUAAAAGAUUGUAACGGAAAGCGGGACCAAUC
RNAcentral lists this small RNA (82 nucleotides) under Halpernia humi. Its description in RNAcentral is "Chryseobacterium humi Flavo-1 RNA". It matches the Rfam family "Flavo-1 RNA". Lineage: Bacteria; Pseudomonadati; Bacteroidota; Flavobacteriia; Flavobacteriales; Weeksellaceae. The record is from RNAcentral.